Molecule: long non-coding RNA, 5884 nt
Organism: Manis pentadactyla (Chinese pangolin)
Lineage: Eukaryota; Metazoa; Chordata; Mammalia; Pholidota; Manidae
Exons: 2
Source: RefSeq, a predicted model, not a curated record
AAUAAAAAAGGCCCAGGAGCUGGUUUCCUGACCGGAGAUAAAAGAGCUGGUGUUCCUCCUGGGCAGAGCAGUGUUCGGUAGAACUAGAGGUUGAACUUAGAGUCAGCCUCUGGGCCUUCCCUCCCUGGGAAGUUUCCUUUGUUUUGUUCACUAAGGGCUCCAGACGACAUUUAACUUCACAAAACUGGGUUGAAAGUGGGCACAAAAGAAAAGUCAGUGGACUCCAGACUUAUUAUAUAUUCUGUCUUUGAUACCACCUUUCAUUCACCCAGCAUCCAGAGGAGAGGACUCUUGUUCACAUAUUUCCCUACUUUACUCCCCAAAUGCAGUCAUCCAUUAAGCCUUGUGGAUUGUACUGUAGAAAGGUUUGAGUGCAGGCCUUCCUUCCUAAUCUUAAUGCAAUGACUUGAAUCCAUGCUUGUUCGUUUCUGACUCCCUUUCAUGGACAGCAGAGUUAUUUUUUUCCCAAAGCAAGUUAAUUCUUAACACUCCUUUUGAAAACCUCUGUGAUCUUAUUGUCCUCUGCAGUUAAUCCUAAUUUUUUACUUGGCAUGCAGACCCUCCUUAGGCUGGUUGAAAGUAAUCUGCUCAGUUUUACCUUCUUCUGCCUUUGGGUUCCCCACUACCCUUGCUAUUUUCUUUUUUUUAAAGCUUUUUGGGCAGCUCUGUCCUUCACAUUCAUGAUCAUGUUUGAUCCUACCUGCUAUGUAGACACUAUUAUUCCCAUUUUGUGGAUGAGAAAAUGAAAUGCAGAGAGAUUCAUGGUUUGCCCCAGUUUUCCUAGCUGGGGAGAAUGAGCCGUGAUCUAACUCAGUUCUGUCUGACUCCAAAGCCCCCGCUCAUACCUAUUUGCUAUGUGGAGACUGCACAUGCUUUGCACGUGCUGCGUGCUCUACCUGAGAAAGGCUGCCUUCUUGCCUUUCCUCCCUUCCAGGGAGGUUCUAGGUUCAACUCGAAUGCACCUAGUUUGUGAGCCUUCCCCAUUCCCCUUCAGGAUGAGUUGUUUCCUCCUUUGUGUGACCAUAGCACUUGCUUUAUGUUUCUCUUUGAGCUCUUGUCACUAUCUGAUUUGUGUUAGACUUGUCUUUCCUACUGGGUUGAAUUCCUCAAGGGCAGGGAUCUUGACCUAGUUCAUCCUGGUAUCCCCUAGGCUAUCCCAGUUGAUCCAGUUUGGAAUUCCUAGGUUCCAUGGGUCUGAGAGAGGAGUUACUUUGGCUUUUGAAUUAUUUUUGUGUCUCCAAAAAAUUGGAGCUUAGAAAAAAUAUAACAUUAACUGAGUACUUAUUAAGUGCUAGUCCAUUUACAUUAGUUCUUUUCAAGAACACUUAAAGUUGGUGUAUUGUUAUCUAUAUUUUACAAUGGAGGAAAUGGUGAGGCUUAGAUAGGUUGAGUGUUACUUAAGGUGGAGUAGCCGUGUGGGUUGGGGAGAGAGGAGAUGGUAAAUAUCCCUGGCUUCAAAUCCCAUGUUCUCUGCCCCUUGUCACUGAACUGCCUCCUUUCUUACUCCAAAGAUGCACUGGGGCAUCCCUGGAGUAAGGAGCUGGGGGAGGAUGUCAUUUCUCGAGUUGUGGAUGGAAAUUCAGUUCAGUAUGGGAAAUGCUGGCCAUGUGAUGCUGAUCAUUGGCUCUGAGAGCCAGUGUUUAAGCGUGGUUGGUUAAAAAAAAGAUUAUUGAUGCAGGUUGAUCAAUACAUGGGGUGGAAAUAAUAGAAGGGAUUUUUAAUGGUGAAAAGUAAACAUGUUGAAUAAGCAAAUGAAUUACAUCUUUAAAAACUUGAGAUAUCCUCAAAAAUUGUUUUCCAGGACACUUGAGAAUCAAAGAUUGCUUUGUAACAAUGGACUGUCUGCAGAUAUUUAUUUAGCACUGUCUGCAGUGUUAAAUACAUUAUUAAAAGAACAGUGAUUUGCAUGCAUAUUUCAGGCUGAGAAGUCAUUUUAGGCAAAGUGAAUAUGAUAAAGUCUUUAAUUUAAAAAGCAUUUGCCAAAACGAUUAGCCUUUUUAGAAACAAUGUUAAUAAAAGAUUAAGUACAUUUUAAAUUCGCAAGCAGCUAGUUCAGCAUUGAUGGCAACAACAGAUUGUAACCAUUGCUUCAGUCAGGAAGGGAAAUAGCUACAAAAGUGAAACCUGUAGUUGCUGCUAAGGGAAACUGAUUGCAGUCUGGUAAUUUUUCAGCCUCUCAAUUCUGGACAUCUUCUCUAAGGCCUCUCCAGCUGAGUAUCUUUCCACAGGACUUUUCUCAGUGGGGAAAUUGGUGGGUUGAAGGGAGGAGUGACAUUUUAUUAGUACUAUGGCAACCACUGAGAUAAGGAAUUGAGAUUUGUAGCAACCUUUUAAUGCUGUUUGAAUAAUGUUCAGUCAGAACACCUUAUUGGUGUGCUUUCUCUCGGUCCAUAAUCACAUGUGAAUGAGUACGAGGAGUCCCUAAAUAACAGUUCGUUCCUUGGAAUUCAUUGUACUAAGCAGUGAACUAGUUUGCUUUUGAGCAGGGGUUUAGGUUCUCUCAGGCUGGCUAAUUAACACGAGAGAGCAGUGAAUGUGUCUGGUAGGUGUGUGUGUCAGUUGAGGGGAAUUUUACAAGUUAUGUUAUACCAGCAUAAAUGUUCUGAAUCUGCUGAGUUUUGGGGAAUUGAGAAAAGCAUUGCAUUUUUUAUCCUAAAUAGAAAAUUCCAGUAAGUUGGGGUAUUUUCAGCCUCCUUUAAUGAUAUUCUUUGUGAAUGUUUCUGUACUAAAAGAUAGUUGGGACAGGUCCUGGGAAGGAAGGUAUACUCAGUUAUUGCAACAUGUGGAAUCUCUUCCUAAAGUAUAUAUUAGAACAAAACACUUGUCUCAGGGUGUUUGGACCUUUUCUGAUAUUGUUACAACUCUAAUACAACUCUUGUUAGUAGGCUGUUGAUUUAAUGCUUUAUUGUACCAAGUCACUAGAAAAUAUUCUCAUCCCAUGGAAAAGUAUGGCUGUUCAAGAGAUACUUCUAUUUUCUCUGCUGUAACAGUUAGGAGUUAAAGCUUAAAGAACCAGGAAGACAUCCUUGGGGGCCCAGACUUCGUAUCGAGCCACCUUGAGUUUUCCCCUGAGUGGUGGCUGAGUCUAAGGUCAUUCUUUGCCCUGUGUUUCUCCUGUCUUGUCUAGUCAGUCACCCAAGGAAGAACCUGGGAGGCCUGCCUCGCCCCUUCCUCCCACAUCUCACCACCUGCCAGAUUCUGCUGAACCACUCCUUUACCUCUGUUCUCUGCCUGUCUUUUCUCCAUCCUCAUUGGUGGCAGAACACCUGCAUCAGAUUCCUCAUUGGUUUCCUUAUUACUUAAUUCCACACAAUUCCUAGCCAGCAGGGUGUCGAAGAGAAGUGCAUGUGCCCAGUUUCGGCUCUCAGAGAUUGGAAUCAAAUUCAGUAGGUCAGGACUGUGUUAUUUUAAAAUGCACAUCAUGUCAAAAUUCAUCAGGCUAUACAUUAAGGUUUGUGCAUUUUAUUGUAUGAACCUCAUUGUAUGUAAAAGUAAUUUAAAAAAUGAACGUUCCUUAGCAUGUUCCUUUAAGAUCUGGUCUUGCCAGGCUUCUCUCGCCCCACUUGCCUAGGGAAUCCCCUAAACACAGCAUGCUUUGCACACCCUGGGUCUCUUGAUGGGUGUCCCUCUUCCUUCUCUGCACUUAACUGCUUGUCCUGUAAGACUCAGCUCAAGGGUCACCUCUGGGUUCUGCACUUGAGUUGCUCAGUGAGGGAGAAAAAUGGCAUGCAUCUACCUAGAACAAAGAAAUCCCGGGCUGUCCACUGCAUGCUGCGUGUAGGCCAGCUUAAUGAUGGAGUACAGCGGAGGGAUAGGCCCUCUGACAUUGGGAAGGAGGUGGGACUUGGGCUGACCCCUCCAGAAUGAGUGGUUAAAGGACCCAGCAGCCAGUGAGGUGGAGUAGCUUUCAUCCCUCAGAAUGGGUGUGGGCAGUGGCUAUGAGAGGUGCCCUGAGGAACCCCAGUGACGGCCUGCCUACCCCCCAGUAUGGCUGCAUGCUUCUGACCUUGUGCUCUCCUCUCCUUGGGUUUUAGUUAGGCCAGCCCCUGAAGUGCUUCCCAGAAGCACUAAGGAACUGGCUUGGUUUUGUCUAAGGUUGGCAUGUCCAGCACUACAAGCCUCCAGAGCUAUGAGCCCUCCUUCCCUCCACCCUGGUGGGGCUAAGUUUUCUGGCCAACUUCUGGAAGAGUUGCCUCUCACGAAAGGUCAUCAUGGAAACUCGUGCUGAUGGGCUUAAAGACAGGUGGCAGAGAGAUGCUAUGUUUUUAAUUUUUGGGGUCGCUUGUGUUCCCAGUUGCAGCGUCCAGGUGAGGCAGCAGGCCACUUGCUUGUGAGGACUUCUGCUUGCAGGGCUCCUCUGGCCGCCUCAUCCUGUCUGUUCUUGAUGGCAUAGAUAAGCCUAACUCUGUCCCCAGUAAAAAGGAGAGGAGAGGGCCAUUAACUGAGGACACAGCUAUUAAGAGGGAGAAUAGUGUGGUCCUUAAGAGCUCAGGUUCUAGAGUUUUGAGUCCUGAGGCUGCCACAGCUUGGCUGAGGGAACCUGGGCAAGUUACUUAACCUCUCUCUGCAUUAGUUACUUCACCUGUGUGUGAAGGUUAAAUGUGUUAAUAUUUAUGUCCAGUGCUUAGAAGAGUGCUUGGCAUAUACUAAGUGUGAGAAGCUAGGUAUUGAGAAAAUAGAUAUUGGCAUUUGUAUUGGGAGUGAGCAGGGUGUUCCAGGGCAGUGAGGACAGCCUGGUGGGAGGGAAGGGGUCGGAGGAGUGAGAGGAGAAAGUGCUGGCAAGGUGGGUUGGGGCCAGGUAGGGGCGGGCCUGCCUGGAUGUGACCCCCACCCCAGCAGAGCCCGUUCUCUUGUGGCACUCUCCUGAAGGAACCUGAUCCUUACCGGUAGUGAGAAGUUAAUUGAGAUGGCUGUGGGAAUAUGUGUUUGUUUAAAAGUGUUCACUUUUCUCAACAAAAUUGAAAAGGUCUUGAAUUCAAAAUUUGUUUUCCCAGUAUGCCAUACUCUCCCCCUGUGUAUUUUCUCUUCCUGUCCUGAAUGGUCCUGCAGUGAGGAUAGUGACAGCCACUGUGUCCAGAGAUGAAUCCAGCUUUGAAGCAGAAAGUUAAGAACUGUUGCUUACGGUGGCUGUUCCAUGUCUCCUCCUGGCCUUUGCUGCAGUCUCUAGAAUUUCAGAGCUGCAAGGGGCCCCCUUGACAGGCAGGAGCCUGAGGCUUAGAGGGCACCACCCACGGCCUGGGUGGCUCACUCUCUGCUCGCAUCACCUGCCCUGAGGGUCUUGCUCCUGCUUUUCACAAGGCUGCUGUGGGUUUUAAGGAGGGCCGGGGUGCAGAACAGGGGAAUUUACUUCAGCUUAGUGGUUGUUUGGGCCUUGUUCUGUUUUUGACAGUUCCAGGUCUGUGUUGAUUAUAGUUUGUUGUACUUCAUUGUCUUGUCAUAUUUUGCUUCCACAUCUUACUGGCAUAGUUCAGCGGAGGGGCGGAAUACUGUUUGCACAACCCCUAGCCCAGCAGGCACAUUGGCAACCAAAGCAGUCAGUAAGGUCAAGCCCAGUGCUCGUGGCUGUGUUCUCUGUGGUUCUGAGUGGGGAUGCUGCCUGACUAUCAGAGGUUGGGCAGCGGGGUAACUCAAGUUGAACAGCCUCUGAACCCUUUCUGAGUUGGUUUGUAAAUGUCUGCCUUACACCAGUGUACCUCUCAGGAACCUCUGACCUUGCAGAAGGAUCUGCCACGGGUUUUACGCACGCAGUUGCCACUCUGCUCACUUGUCCUGGGGCAGCUCUGGAGUGUGUGAUGUAGGUGAAGAAUGUGAGGCACAGCCAUGUUCAGAUGGAAGCAGAAACAUUUUCCAGGAGUGAGGUCGGUGGCCAGAAGCUGGCCGAGGA